Long non-coding RNA from Magnolia sinica, 1921 nucleotides. RefSeq lists it as uncharacterized. NCBI's taxonomy places the organism in Eukaryota, Viridiplantae, Streptophyta, Magnoliopsida, Magnoliales, Magnoliaceae. The record is from RefSeq and is a predicted model, not a curated record. The transcript is spliced from 2 exons.
AAUAUAAUUUGACGCAAUGGGAACUCCUCAAUCUUUUGCAUAUUCCCACUAUAGUGAAAUUUGGCCAUUUUUUGUAUUGUUUGGAAACCACGAUUGGAUGCACAACAAUAUGAAAUACAUAGUUUUGAUUGAAUUUAAAACUUUUGCCUUCCGUGCUUACCAUCACUACUUGGAACAAGAAGGCGGCCAAACUUACUUGGAAGCUUGGUGGCCAUUUUCAAAUUACUCUGACCAUUGAAUUGUGACAUUUUAGAGUAUAUGAAUACUAAUUAUCUCUUAGGACCAAGAUUUACCAAGUAUUAGUGGAAAUUUCAUGGUGGAAUUUCCUGAUGCUACUCACAUAUUAACUAUAUCUUAGAAAGAUUCUACUUAGGCAUCUUAUUUGGAUGAACAAACUUAUUGUAUGUUAGCAUUAAUUGAGUGAUUGGCUAUUUGGAUAUCUAGACUUAUUGUCAUUUGUGUUGAAUUGAAAAGGGGGUGUUUGAAUUUUUAAUUCCCAUGGUAAAUCACCGUAAAUAAAUAAUCAUAAUUUACUUUUGUAUUUCCGGUACUGCUCCCAUUAUAGGCCUGUAUAGGACCAUUACGGCCCCGUAGUAGCCAGUUAUGGCCAUUACAGGCCUGUUACAGGCCAUUUUCUUCAAAUCAAUCGUUACGCCCCGUACCACAUUACAAGCACCACCAUUACUGGUUUUGUAAAAGCCGUUACAUUACUGUUUUUGAAUACCUUGGAUUUUAGGGACAUGAUCCAUCCACAAUGUGCUCCAAAUUUUGGAUGAUCUGGAUAGCUUCCCACAAGUGCCACAUUUGAGGAGGAUAAGUCCCCACCAUUUUCAAAACUUUGCAAACUGUCAUAGGAGUGUGCCCCUUGUGGAUCGUAGCGGCCAUUACAAUGCAUAAUGGGCAAUAUUUUGAACCAUGACUCGUGCAUGAAGCAUGAGGUUGGCCUAAUCGAAUGGUAAUAUAAGUCUACAAGAGAUUUCUGCUUUCCUUUCCAUAUUUCUUCAUAUUAAAUUAAUUCAAUUUGGAAUUUAUGUCUUUGUGUUCUCCCCUAUAGGUAACUGAAGGAGAAGAAGUCCUUAGAUUGCUUAUGGAGAUCAAUGUGAAGGACAAGAGUUGUGAUUUUCAUAAGGUCUACAUGUACUUAGUUUUGGCUGAAACGUGGCUCUUCUCAAGUCCUUUAUUAGAACAGAAACCGGUAGUUCAUGAAAUGUGGACUGUAUAUCUUCGAAAUUGCUCUUGCCAAAUUACAAGCACAGAUUGGCGGUCAUAUGCCUCAAAGGUCCGCAAUAAAGCUUCUUACCUUCUACAAAGCAUGACACAGAGAAGGAACUGUGAUUAAUAGCGUAUGUACUAUUAUUUCCAUUGACAUUUUCCCCAGUUGCAGUCUUCAAAUCUCUUGGUCCCUAGGCUUUGGAUCGCAUGGCUCAGGUAUGUUUGAGUGCAAACCACCUUUGUGGCUGGUGCAGGUACCAAGUGUACAUGAUACUCUUGGAGUUUAGGAAAUCGUGGAAAACAGAACCUGCAAUAAGUAGGAUUUUCUUCUCUCACUUCUUCCAUGCCAAGUCAGAUUGAGCCAAGAACAGGAGUGUCCCGUUCUUAUCUCAAAUGUGAUUUGACAGUAGAGCAUUGUCUGCCUUGGGAACUGAAGACACCCAAACAUACCCUUCUUGUCCAAAAUUGAGGCAGAAAAAAUGACAGAAUGUGUGUUAUUGACAAACGAUGUAUAAUUGCUAACUUGAUAGCUAUUCAAAACAGUGCAAGGACAUACAACAGCAUAUAGGGAGGAUACUUGAAUUUUUGGCGAGGAUGUGAACAGUACAUUAGCAACUUGAAGUUCAGACAGAAUACUCAAUGAGCUUCCUUUUAUUCUGUAAAUGUGCUGUAAGUACUCAGUGAAAUUUUUUGCAACUGCUUUAUCUUA